GGAUGCUCAAAGGUGGUGGUAACUUAACCCCGGAGACGGUUGUAAGUCACGGGUCGCGUCGCGAGUUUGCUCCCCGCUAGGAUGCUCCUCCGCAGCGAUGCACAGCGCGGUCGCCGCGGGGUGCUAAGGGUUAGCCAUAUGGUUCAUGAGUGAGGCGGUAGAGGGCAGGCAGCUCACCAGCUGAUGUGAUUGCAACCAAUGGAAAUCACUGAAACAAAGAAGACAGCCAAUCAGGAUCGAGGAAGGUGUUUGUAAACAAACGAUGGAAACUUGAGCAUUUGGUGCGGGGCAGUCUAGCCAGACCACUUGCUACGCUUCCCUACUUCCUUCCAUUCUUCCACCGACUGUUGCAGUGGCAACACCUGACCUCGUAGAACCCGACCACUCCUCACACCAGUCAUCCGCGCCUCACUUGGCCCUUCCUCAAGAAGACGCAAACACUCCAACUGUUGCUCCAACUCCUCUCCCUGGACGUGACGUGACCAUCUGCGCCUCACUUGCCCCUUCCUCAAGAAGACACAAAAGGAAUGGAGGGGAAGAAACCCCGUAAGGCCAACUUCUCUGAGGCUGAAGUGUUGGCAAUGGUCACGGCCAUCCGUGACAAUUAUAAUAUCCUUUUUGGUAAAUUGUCUGCGGGGACGAC
This is a long non-coding RNA of Eriocheir sinensis (Chinese mitten crab), 643 nucleotides long. RefSeq lists it as uncharacterized. The record is from RefSeq and is a predicted model, not a curated record. Lineage: Eukaryota; Metazoa; Arthropoda; Malacostraca; Decapoda; Varunidae. The transcript has 3 exons.